This 301-nucleotide ribosomal RNA is filed under the name uncultured bacterium. RNAcentral's name for it is "partial 16S ribosomal RNA". It matches the Rfam family "Bacterial small subunit ribosomal RNA", at positions 509 to 807 of the family's 1533-position model. The record is from RNAcentral.
CAGUAGCCGCGGUAAUACGUAGGUGGCAAGCGUUGUCCGGAGUUAUUGGGCGUAAAGGGCUCGCAGGCGGUUUCUUAAGUCUGAUGUGAAAGCCCCCGGCUCAACCGGGGAGGGUCAUUGGAAACUGGGAAACUUGAGUGCAGAAGAGGAGAGUGGAAUUCCUCGUGUAGCGGUGAAAUGCGUAGAGAUGUGGAGGAACACCAGUGGCGAAGGCGACUCUCUGGUCUGUAACUGACGCUGAGGAGCGAAAGCGUGGGGAGCGAACAGGAUUAGAUACCCCUGUAGUCCCUGUCUCUUAUAC